RNAcentral lists this ribosomal RNA (474 nucleotides) under Streptococcus mitis. RNAcentral's name for it is "bacterial SSU rRNA". It matches the Rfam family "Bacterial small subunit ribosomal RNA", at positions 28 to 489 of the family's 1533-position model. The record is from RNAcentral. Lineage: Bacteria; Bacillati; Bacillota; Bacilli; Lactobacillales; Streptococcaceae.
GACGAACGCUGGCGGCGUGCCUAAUACAUGCAAGUAGAACGCUGAAGGAGGAGCUUGCUUCUCUGGAUGAGUUGCGAACGGGUGAGUAACGCGUAGGUAACCUGCCUGGUAGCGGGGGAUAACUAUUGGAAACGAUAGCUAAUACCGCAUAAUAGCAGUUAUUGCAUGAUAACUGUUUGAAAGGUGCAAUUGCACCACUACCAGAUGGACCUGCGUUGUAUUAGCUAGUUGGUGGGGUAACGGCUCACCAAGGCGACGAUACAUAGCCGACCUGAGAGGGUGAUCGGCCACACUGGGACUGAGACACGGCCCAGACUCCUACGGGAGGCAGCAGUAGGGAAUCUUCGGCAAUGGACGGAAGUCUGACCGAGCAACGCCGCGUGAGUGAAGAAGGUUUUCGGAUCGUAAAGCUCUGUCGUAAGAGAAGAACGAGUGUGAGAGUGGAAAGUUCACACUGUGACGUAUCUACCAGAA